UGAAAAAAAUCAAAGCUUCCAAACCCUCCUUAUUCUUUCUUCUUCACGUGAAUUAGAAAAACCUCCAAACCCUGCUUCCUUCACCUUUGCUUGCUGCUUAACCAUCGUCCACCAGCGCAUCAACCACCUCGCAGCCGCCGCACCACCGCAGUCGCUGCAUCGUCAAGGAAUCCACGCUGCGCCGCCCAUCAAUCCUCCCUUCCUCUUCGUUUCUUCCUCUCUCGUCACCAGCAACAACCCCCACCGUUCGACCACCGAACGCGACCACCUUCUCUGUGCCCAGCCGCCAUCGUGGCCAUCCACGACCACCCUUCCUCCUCCACGCCGCCGCCACGUCGCUGACCACCAGCUCUCACGACCACCUUGCUUGCGCAACCCCGGCGUCGCCGCCCAGCCUGCGCCGCCGCUGCCGUGCCCCUGCUCGCCGGCAGUCUCUCCCCUCCUCUCUUUAUUCUUGGCGGAGAAUUCUCUUUAGGCGACUUUUGAAAGUGUUAAAGUGACCUAUCAGUUUGUUUACACAAGUCUCUAUGGAUCAAUAAGCAUUGUCCAUCUGCAGGUUUGAAGAUGUUGCAUCAUUGGGAUCGGGAAUAGAGAGCUUGAAUUUAGUUUUGAUUGGCUAAGUUGACUUGGGUUUGUUUAAUUGGACUUUAAACUUGUCGUACUAUUUAUAUUUCCUUAUUUUCGUUGGUUGAUUUUUGGGACAAAACCUGUAAUCGAUUAUUUAUAAACCUAAAGUUGGUUUUAUGUUUUCCGCUGCAAAAUUCUGAAUAAGCCGUUACGUUUUCACACGGGCGAUAAUGCCUUG
Molecule: long non-coding RNA, 805 nt
Organism: Spinacia oleracea (spinach)
Lineage: Eukaryota; Viridiplantae; Streptophyta; Magnoliopsida; Caryophyllales; Amaranthaceae
Exons: 4
Source: RefSeq, a predicted model, not a curated record